UACCUAUGCAUGGAUUACACCAUAGUUCC
Molecule: non-coding RNA, 29 nt
Filed under: Rattus norvegicus (Norway rat)
Lineage: Eukaryota; Metazoa; Chordata; Mammalia; Rodentia; Muridae
Source: RNAcentral